UAAGCGACUAAGCGUACACGGUGGAUGCCUAGGCAGUCAGAGGCGAUGAAGGGCGUGCUAAUCUGCGAAAAGCGUCGGUAAGCUGAUAUGAAGCGUUAUAACCGACGAUACCCGAAUGGGGAAACCCAGUGCAAUACGUUGCACUAUCGUUAGAUGAAUACAUAGUCUAACGAGGCGAACCGGGGGAACUGAAACAUCUAAGUACCCCGAGGAAAAGAAAUCAACCGAGAUUCCCCCAGUAGCGGCGAGCGAACGGGGAGGAGCCCAGAGUCUGAAUCAGUUUGUGUGUUAGUGGAAGCGUCUGGAAAGUCGCACGGUACAGGGUGAUAGUCCCGUACACCAAAAUGCACAGGCUGUGAACUCGAUGAGUAGGGCGGGACACGUGACAUCCUGUCUGAAUAUGGGGGGACCAUCCUCCAAGGCUAAAUACUCCUGACUGACCGAUAGUGAACCAGUACCGUGAGGGAAAGGCGAAAAGAACCCCGGCGAGGGGAGUGAAAUAGAACCUGAAACCGUGUACGUACAAGCAGUGGGAGCACCUUCGUGGUGUGACUGCGUACCUUUUGUAUAAUGGGUCAGCGACUUAUAUUUUGUAGCAAGGUUAACCGAAUAGGGGAGCCGUAGGGAAACCGAGUCUUAACUGGGCGUCUAGUUGCAAGGUAUAGACCCGAAACCCGGUGAUCUAGCCAUGGGCAGGUUGAAGGUUGGGUAACACUAACUGGAGGACCGAACCGACUAAUGUUGAAAAAUUAGCGGAUGACUUGUGGCUGGGGGUGAAAGGCCAAUCAAACCGGGAGAUAGCUGGUUCUCCCCGAAAGCUAUUUAGGUAGCGCCUCGUGAACUCAUCUUCGGGGGUAGAGCACUGUUUCGGCUAGGGGGCCAUCCCGGCUUACCAAACCGAUGCAAACUCCGAAUACCGAAGAAUGUUAUCACGGGAGACACACGGCGGGUGCUAACGUCCGUCGUGAAGAGGGAAACAACCCAGACCGCCAGCUAAGGUCCCAAAGUCAUGGUUAAGUGGGAAACGAUGUGGGAAGGCACAGACAGCCAGGAUGUUGGCUUAGAAGCAGCCAUCAUUUAAAGAAAGCGUAAUAGCUCACUGGUGGAGUCGGCCUGCGCGGAAGAUGUAACGGGGCUAAACCAUGCACCGAAGCUGCGGCAGCGACACUUAGGUGUUGUUGGGUAGGGGAGCGUUCUGUAAGCCGUUGAAGGUGACCUGUGAGGGUUGCUGGAGGUAUCAGAAGUGCGAAUGCUGACAUAAGUAACGAUAAUGCGGGUGAAAAACCCGCACGCCGGAAGACCAAGGGUUCCUGUCCAACGUUAAUCGGGGCAGGGUGAGUCGACCCCUAAGGCGAGGCUGAAAAGCGUAGUCGAUGGGAAACAGGUUAAUAUUCCUGUACUUGGUGUUACUGCGAAGGGGGGACGGAGAAGGCUAGGCUGGCCGGGCGACGGUUGUCCCGGUUUAAGCGUGUAGGGGGAGUGACCAGGUAAAUCCGGUUGCUUAUCAACCCUGAGGCGUGAUGACGAUGCACCACGGUGCAGAAGCAGUUGAUGCCAUGCUUCCAGGAAAAGCCUCUAAGCAUCAGGUAACAUUAAAUCGUACCCCAAACCGACACAGGUGGUCAGGUAGAGAAUACUCAGGCGCUUGAGAGAACUCGGGUGAAGGAACUAGGCAAAAUGGUGCCGUAACUUCGGGAGAAGGCACGCUGGCGUUAGGUGAAAGGACUAGCUCCUGGAGCUGAAGCCAGUCGCAGAUACCAGCUGGCUGCAACUGUUUAAUAAAAACACAGCACUGUGCAAACACGAAAGUGGACGUAUACGGUGUGACGCCUGCCCGGUGCUGGAAGGUUAAUUGAUGGGGUCAGCCGCAAGGCGAAGCUCUUGAUCGAAGCCCCAGUAAACGGCGGCCGUAACUAUAACGGUCCUAAGGUAGCGAAAUUCCUUGUCGGGUAAGUUCCGACCUGCACGAAUGGCGUAAUGAUGGCCAGGCUGUCUCCACCCGAGACUCAGUGAAAUUGAACUCGCUGUGAAGAUGCAGUGUACCCGCGGCAAGACGGAAAGACCCCGUGAACCUUUACUAUAGCUUGACACUGAACAUUGAGCCUUGAUGUGUAGGAUAGGUGGGAGGCCUUGAAGUGUGGACGCCAGUCUGCAUGGAGCCAACCUUGAAAUACCACCCUUUAAUGUUUGAUGUUCUAACUCGGCCCCAUGAUCUGGGGUGAGGACAGUGUCUGGUGGGUAGUUUGACUGGGGCGGUCUCCUCCCAAAGAGUAACGGAGGAGCACGAAGGUUAGCUAAUCACGGUCGGACAUCGUGAGGUUAGUGCAAAGGCAUAAGCUAGCUUGACUGCGAGAGUGACGGCUCGAGCAGGUACGAAAGUAGGUCUUAGUGAUCCGGUGGUUCUGAAUGGAAGGGCCAUCGCUCAACGGAUAAAAGGUACUCCGGGGAUAACAGGCUGAUACCGCCCAAGAGUUCAUAUCGACGGCGGUGUUUGGCACCUCGAUGUCGGCUCAUCACAUCCUGGGGCUGAAGUAGGUCCCAAGGGUAUGGCUGUUCGCCAUUUAAAGUGGUACGCGAGCUGGGUUUAGAACGUCGUGAGACAGUUCGGUCCCUAUCUGCCGUGGGCGUUGGAAGAUUGAGAGGGGCUGCUCCUAGUACGAGAGGACCGGAGUGGACGAAUCACUGGUGUUCGGGUUGUCAUGCCAAUGGCAUUGCCCGGUAGCUAAAUUCGGAAGAGAUAACCGCUGAAAGCAUCUAAGCGGGAAACUUGCCUCGAGAUGAGUCUUCCCUGGGGCUUAAAGCCCCCUGAAGGAACGUUAAAGACUAUGACGUUGAUAGGCUGGGUGUGUAAGUGCAGCGAUGUAUUGAGCUAACCAGUACUAAUGAUCCGUGAGGCUUAACCU
RNAcentral lists this ribosomal RNA (2903 nucleotides) under Yersinia pestis Pestoides G. RNAcentral's name for it is "bacterial LSU rRNA". It matches the Rfam family "Bacterial large subunit ribosomal RNA". Lineage: Bacteria; Pseudomonadati; Pseudomonadota; Gammaproteobacteria; Enterobacterales; Yersiniaceae. The record is from RNAcentral.